RNAcentral lists this ribosomal RNA (756 nucleotides) under uncultured bacterium. RNAcentral's name for it is "bacterial SSU rRNA". It matches the Rfam family "Bacterial small subunit ribosomal RNA", at positions 8 to 796 of the family's 1533-position model. The record is from RNAcentral.
AGAGUUUGAUCAUGGCUCAGAAUCAACGCUGGCGGCGUGCCUAACACAUGCAAGUCGAACGAGAAAGUGGAGCAAUCCAUGAGUAAAGUGGCGCACGGGUGAGUAACACGUGACUAACCUACCCUUGAGUGGGGGAUAACUGAGGGAAACCUUAGCUAAUACCGCAUAAUACCCACGGGUCAAAGGAGCAAUUCGCUCGAGGAGGGGGUCGCGGCCGAUUAGUUAGUUGGCGGGGUAAUGGCCCACCAAGACAAUGAUCGGUAUCCGGCCUGAGAGGGCGCACGGACACACUGGAACUGAAACACGGUCCAGACUCCUACGGGAGGCAGCAGUGGGGAAUUUUGCGCAAUGGGGGAAACCCUGACGCAGCAACGCCGCGUGGAGGAUGAAGUCCUUCGGGACGUAAACUCCUUUCGAUCGGGACGAUUAUGACGGUACCGGAAGAAGAAGCCCCGGCUAACUUCGUGCCAGCAGCCGCGGUAAUACGAGGGGGGCGAGCGUUGUUCGGAAUUAUUGGGCGUAAAGGGUGCGUAGGCGGUUUGGUAAGUCUUGUGUGAAAUCUACAGGCUCAACUUGUAGUCUGCACGAGAAACUGCCGGGCUUGAGUGUGGGAGAGGUGAGUGGAAUUUCCGGUGUAGCGGUGAAAUGCGUAGAUAUCGGAAGGAACACCUGUGGCGAAAGCGGCUCACUGGACCACAACUGACGCUGAUGCACGAAAGCUAGGGGAGCAAACAGGAUUAGAUACCCCGGUAGUCC